AAGGCGGUCCCAUGUUCGUUUAUUAGGGUUUGAAAGUAGGAGGAGGAGGAAGAAAGGAAAAACAUUCGUCGACUUUUUUUCUCUCUAACAUCCAGAUCCAUCUCAUUUUGCUAUCUUGGUGAAGACUCAGAUAUGAAGUUCACAUAAAUACUGUUAUUUCUACCAAUAGAUUCUGAUGCUCAUGUACUACUUUGUGCCUUAAAGCUUUUCUCUUCUCCUUUCCCUAGUGUUAUGUCAAUGCGGAUUAUUUCACCGUCUCACUGCUGUUGCUAUUGGUCUUUGUGGCUCACUUAAUUUUUGGGCAUGUUGUUUCUUAGCCGCACAACAUUGGAUGGUCUAGCAAGUAUUUUAUGGAAUUUACUGUACAGUUUUGGAGGUAAGGUGCAUAUUUGAUAGCAGAAAAAUCUUGCUUUCAGGGUUUUGCCAGUCAUCAUCAAUUGAAUUGUUUCUCUAAGACAGAUCCAAAACAGAGUGUUGUAUAUCGGUUAUCUUUGAAUUUUUGGCUUUCAUUCCGUGGAUAGGGAUUGAUCCUGUGGGUAGAAAUGGAAACAAAGUUCGCAAAGGUAUUGGAUAAUGGCCGUCGUGUUAUGCUAGACUUGAAGAGAAAACGGCCAACCCGAUGUGAAGCAAAUUUUCCUGGAGCAUCUUGCAUGGUGUUGCCACUGCAGUCCACCUUGAAUUCUUCCAUUCAUAAUCUUGGCAAGCAGAGGAAAUUGGAUGGUACCAAAAUCAAGUCUGUUGACUGUCUUUCUCAUUUUAGAAGAUCUUUGCUUCAAAAUUAUUCAAAUUUUACAAAAAGUGGCCCCCCACAACGAUUGUUGUUUUAUCAGAAUGGCAAAUGGACCGAUUUUCCUCAGGAUUUUGUUUGUUUAAUUAAGAACGAUCUUCAGGUGAAAAAGGAAGCCACUGAGGUGGAGUAUAAUGGUCAUUCUUUUCUGCUUGACUUUUUGCAUAUGAUGCGGCUGGAUCUGAAGACUGGUCUUCAGCAGCCCAUCGCGUGGAUUGAUGAUGGAGGGAACUGCUUCUUUCCAGAGAUCUUUUCUCAUGAUGACGAACUCCACAAGAGCUGCUACCAUGGAUGUGAGAAUGAUCACAAGAACCAGUUUUCAGAUCCGCAUGGGUUCCAUGAUAUCGAGCUGAAGCUGGAAAUCGAAAUAAAUGGAUCAGAAUUUUCUAAGUUGAAGGAAUCUAGUGGCGAGUCAAAUGUUCUUGUUAAACAAAUUGAAGUUGAUAAACAGCCUACUCGCAAUCAUUGUGAUGUAGAAGUCGAUGGUUUUCCCAGAGCAACUGUGGCAAAAGUCUGUGAGGCGUUUGGGCAAAAUCAACGGAUAGAAGAAAACUUGGUCUCUGCACAUGGAGUUUUGGAUUCCAAUAGUGUGCGGGAAAUGUUUUCCAGGGGCAUGAGCUCAUUUACCAAAGCAAGUAUUGUUGAAAUAUUUUGUGGUUCAAGUACCAUAUUGCAAGCUCGGUUGGAGAUGUUCCAGAAGCAGGUUGAGAUCACCAAAAAGUAUCGUGGGGAUGCAAAUGUUCAGUAUGCUUGGCUUCCUUCUUCUGGAGAAGCAGUGUCUAGCCUUAUGACAUAUGGGCUUGGGCACCCCGGACCAUCCAAAUUUAAGCCGGCCUACGGCGUUGGUGUUCAUCUCGCACCUGCAAACUGCACUCACACUAGUGCAAGGUAUUGUGAUGUUGACGAAAAUGGGGUACGAUACAUGGUAUUCUGUCACGUAAUAAUGGGAAACAUGGAGCUUGUUCAGCCUGGAUCAAAGCAGUUUCAUCCCAGUAGCGAGGACUUUGAUAGUGGAGUCGAUGAUCUUCAAGAUCCAAAACAUUAUAUAGUAUGGAAUAUGAAUAUGAACACCCAUAUUUACCCAGAGUUUGUUGUUAGUUUCAAAGUCUCUUCCAAUGCUGAAGGGUUUCCGGUUGGAAAUGAGGGCGAGUUUGAUGUCUCAGGGGUCUCUAGUUGUAAGGGGCCUCAGGUUCAGUUACAGUUAGGUUCAUCUCCAGCUGAUUCUCCAGCUGAUUCAGUUCCAGUCGAGAGAACACCAAAACAAGAUGCUAAUCUUGGUACAAGGACCACUCCUAAAUCCCCUUGGAUGCCAUUCCCUGUGUUGUUUGCUGCCAUCUCCACUAAAGUUUCCCCUGAAAAUAUGGAACUAAUUAGUUAUAAUUAUGAGGUGUUCAAGAAAAAGAAGAUGAGUCGGGAUGACUUUAUUAGAAAGUUGAGGUUGAUAGUCGGAGACACUUUGUUGAGGUCUACAAUUACAAACCUUCAAUGCAAGGGGACAGUCUCAGAGGUACAAGAAAAAGAAACGUUUUGGUGUUUCAUCCUCCUCUUGUUCAUUUCUACUAGACAUGGGGGAUAUGGCCUUGUAUCAUAACCAUUCUAUGUUCUGGAAGAACCUAAUGGAAGUCAGUUAUUCUCAAUGGUUAUUGGAAGAAACCUGAGCUUCGUGAUGCUGCAGCUGUGAGAAUAUUUGGAACUUAAUUUCUGAAGUCAGAAUUUUCAAGGUCCUGAUCAGAUCAGCUGGAAACAUGGCAAGGCCUCUUUCAAAUCCUUUGGAAGCAGUAUACCAUCAAAACCUACAUGUGAAGCAGAUGCACCUAAAAAUAAGCUAGAGUGUCCCGGUGGUCUCUGAAUGAUCAAAAUCACUUCUUUCUUCAAUAUGGUAUGGUAGGUUCCAAAAGACCGCUUUACAUACUUGAAGACAAGGUGUUUUGAUGCUUCUGUGGCGGAGAUUUGAAGUUGUGAAAUAUCUUAGUGAACAUGGUUGAAUCGUUUUAGGUUUUGGUGUUUGGGAACUGUCCGAACUUUCCUCUCCGUUUUGUUAAUGGAUGUUUAUCCGACUUUAUAGAUUGAUACAUGGUAAUUAGUAGUAGUACUUGUGGGUACGCAACUGAUGCAAACUCUGUCUGUUGCAGGUAUUUAUGUUUCUGAAUGUUACAUUUGUUAAUUUUCCUUAAAUAUAUUAUGCUACAAUAUGUUUGCUGA
Molecule: RNA transcript, 2989 nt
Organism: Cornus florida
Lineage: Eukaryota; Viridiplantae; Streptophyta; Magnoliopsida; Cornales; Cornaceae
Gene name: inactive poly [ADP-ribose] polymerase RCD1-like
Exons: 13
Source: RefSeq, a predicted model, not a curated record